AAGUGGGUCACUGUGGGGGCGGGCUUUGAGGUCUCUUUUGCUGAGUUUUCCCUCAGUGUGACUGUCAGUUGACUUCCUGUUGCCUGCAAGCUGUGGCCCUCUCAGCUUCUCCACUACGUCUGCCUGCACACUGCCACGCACGCCACCUGCACGCUGCCACGCUCGCUGCCACGCUCGCUCCCACGCUCCCUCUCAUGAUGAUAAUGGGUCGAACCUGUGGAACUGUAAGGGAGCCACAAAGUUAAAUGUUGUCCUUUGUGAGAGUUGCUGUGAUCAUGGUGUCUCUUCAGCAAUGAAAACCCUAACUAAGACAGUAUAUAUAUUUUUUUUAAUUUCCCCCUUGAUAAGCUGGAGAUGAACUCCAUGGCCUCGUGCAUGCUGGACCUUAUGAUACCUGGCUGAGCAAGCUCUCCCAGUGGAUUUGUGGUGUAUGGAUGGGAAGGUGCUACAGAGCUUCUGUCCUGCCAGGAAACAGCUCAAAA
Peromyscus maniculatus bairdii (prairie deer mouse) is the source of this 482-nucleotide non-coding RNA. The record is from RefSeq and is a predicted model, not a curated record. Lineage: Eukaryota; Metazoa; Chordata; Mammalia; Rodentia; Cricetidae.